Long non-coding RNA from Drosophila sechellia, 147 nucleotides. RefSeq lists it as uncharacterized. The transcript has 3 exons. NCBI's taxonomy places the organism in Eukaryota, Metazoa, Arthropoda, Insecta, Diptera, Drosophilidae. The record is from RefSeq and is a predicted model, not a curated record.
UGUAAAAAUAGAAUUUGGUACAUUGAGUGGAAAUUAAUUUAAGGUACUUAAGGAGGAAACUAGUCUUGGGUGAGUAUUUAUUGAUUUAAUAAUUGCGUUGAUUUUUGCUUUUCAGGUACGUUUUGUGAGGGCUAAGUUGGAGGCCCA